This is a non-coding RNA of Malus domestica (apple), 768 nucleotides long. The record is from RefSeq and is a predicted model, not a curated record. Lineage: Eukaryota; Viridiplantae; Streptophyta; Magnoliopsida; Rosales; Rosaceae.
UCUUCUUCUUUAUUUUUCCGUUUUCCUCUGUAAGUUCUCCCUUUUUGUUGUUUUGUUUCCUCUUCUUAUGUUUUGGGCUGUAAGUUCCUCUUCUUCAAUGGAUUUUAGAGAGAGGGAGUUGCGAGAGGUAAGAAAAUUGUGGUGCACAGAGAGAGGGAGUCGAAGCGGCGAGAAAGUUCUGGGUAUCUGUUUGCAAUUUCUUCCCAGGAAACGAUUUCACUCCGCCUAGACCGUCCUAACAGCUGCCCGAUUUUUCUUAACGAUUCGGAUCACACCCACGCCUAGCGCCUAGGCGGCCGCCUAGGCGGCCGCCUAGGCCGAUUUUUAGAACAUUGCCUAUAAAUAUUCAUGAAAACCGUCUUCUAAACUAACAACUCAAAGCCUUCCAAGUACUUUGGUUGUCUGAAGUUCUAAACCCCAUAACCUAAAAAUCUUCCCCAGAUCUUCGCGUGUGUUCAAAGAUGCCUACUAAUUCAGCAGCAGGAUGCGCCGCUCAUGGUCCCUGUAACGUGAAAGCUCCGCCAUCAGCCGGCUACCCAACAAGAGAUGUACCCCAAAAGGCGGUUCCGGUAGAAACCAAAUCGAAGGAUGAUGGCUUCUGGAAGCGCUGCUGUGCUGCCCUCUGUUGCUGUUGCAUGCUGGAUGCAUGUUUUUGAAGAUGUGAUAUUGUUGACGUAGAUUUGGACGGUGUCUGAUUGUCCAGUUUCUCAUCCUUGUAUAAUAAUUUUAGCUAUCCGGCUACCCUUUUUAUUUAUUUGUUUAUACUUU